UAAUUUUUAAUUUAAUUUAAAAUAUAAUAUUUACAAUAUUAAAAUAUAAAUAAUUAUAAAUUUAAUUUAAAAUAAUUAAAAAUUAA
This 86-nucleotide transfer RNA is filed under the name Acanthormius sp. 3 DLJQ-2021a. Its description in RNAcentral is "Acanthormius sp. QL-2013 tRNA-Val". Lineage: Eukaryota; Metazoa; Arthropoda; Insecta; Hymenoptera; Braconidae. The record is from RNAcentral.